This is a non-coding RNA of Picea glauca (white spruce), 121 nucleotides long. Lineage: Eukaryota; Viridiplantae; Streptophyta; Pinopsida; Pinales; Pinaceae. The record is from Rfam.
ACAUGCUUACAACAUAGUGUUAAUGCACAUGAUCCCAUUAGAAAUCCCCAGUUAGGCGUGCUUGAGCUAGAGUAGUACUGGGAUGGGUGACCGCCCAGGAAUUCCUAGUGUUUUACAUGCC